Molecule: ribosomal RNA, 497 nt
Filed under: uncultured bacterium
Lineage: Bacteria
Description: partial 16S ribosomal RNA
Rfam family: Bacterial small subunit ribosomal RNA
Source: RNAcentral
GAUGAACGCUGGCGGCGUGCCUAAUACAUGCAAGUCGAGCGAACGGACGAGAAGCUUGCUUCUCUGAUGUUAGCGGCGGACGGGUGAGUAACACGUGGAUAACCUACCUAUAAGACUGGGAUAACUUCGGGACACCGUAGCUAAUACCGGAUAAUAUUUUGAACCGCAUGGUUCAAAAGUGAAAGACGGUCUUGCUGUCACUUAUAGAUGGAUCCGCGCUGCAUUAGCUAGUUGGUAAGGUAACGGCUUACCAAGGCAACGAUGCAUAGCCGACCUGAGAGGGUGAACGGCCAAAAGGGAACGGCGACAGGGUCAAGACUCAUACGGGAGGCAGCAGUAGGGAAUCUUCCGAAAUGGUCGAAAGCCUGACGGAGCAACGCCGCGGGAGUAAUGAAGGUCUUCGGAGCUUAAAACUCUGUUAGUAGGGAAGAACAAAUGGGUAAGUAACUAUGCACGGCUGGACGGUACCUAAUCAGAAAGCCACGGCUAACUACGUG